Molecule: long non-coding RNA, 2333 nt
Filed under: Homo sapiens (human)
Lineage: Eukaryota; Metazoa; Chordata; Mammalia; Primates; Hominidae
Description: HSALNT0311338
Source: RNAcentral
CCAGUUGGCACUCUGUAUCUAGCUCAAGGUUUGUAAACACACCAAACAGCACCCUGUGUCUAGCUCAGGGUUUGUGAAUGCACCAAUUGACACUCUGUAUCUAGCUACUCUGGUGGGGCCUUGGAGAACCUUUGUGUCCACACACAGUAUCUAGCUAAUCUGGUGGGGCCUUGGAGAACCUUUGUGUCCACACACAGUAUCUAGCUAAUCUGGUGGGGAUGUGGAGAACCUUUGUGUCUAGCUCAGGGAUCGUAAAUGCACCAACCAGUGCCCUGUCAAAACAGACCACUAGGCUCUACCAAUCAGCAGGAUGUGGGUGGGGCCAGAUAAGAGAAUAAAAGCAGGCUGCCCGAGCCAGCAGUGGCAACUGGCUCAGGUCCCCUUCCACACUGUGGAAGCUUUGUUCUUUCGCUCUUUGCAAUAAAUCUUGCUACUGCUCACUCUUUGGGUCCACGCUGUUUUAUGAGCUGUAACACUCACCGCGAAGGUCUGCAGCUUCACUCCUGAAGCCAGCGAGACCACGAACCCGCCAGAAGGAAAGAAACUCCGAACACACCCGAACAUCAGAAGGAACAAACUCCAGACGCGCCACCUUAAGAGCUGUAACACUCACCGCAAGGGUCCACGGCUUCAUUCUUGAAGUCAGUGAGACCAAGAACCCACCAAUUCUGGACACAAUAGUACAUGUCACACCAAUGCCAAUUCCAGACUAACAUCCUGAAGCUCCAGUUUUGAGGGGUGCAAGCUGCAAGACUGAUAUCAACAUCCACCAAAUACCACUGAUGAGUGGCAAGUAUUAAAAAAACACAGAAAAUCCCACAGCAUGUUGUGGGUUGAAUUAUGCUUCUUCCCUCCCCAGAAGAGGGCUUUCAGAACUAAGGCUGCACACCUAUGACCAUCUGAUCUUCAACAAAGCUGACAAAAACAAGCAACGGGGAAAGGACUUCCUAAUCAAUAAAUGGUGCUGGGAUAACUGGCUAGCCAUGUGCAGAAGAUUGAAGCUGAACCCCUUCCUUGCGCUAUAUAUGAAAAUCAGCUCAAGAUAGAUUAAAGAGUUAAAUGUGAAAUCCAAAACUAUAAAAACCCUGGAAGACAACCUAGGCAAUACCAUCCUGGACACAGGAACAGGCAAACAUUUCAUGACAAAUACACCAAAAGAAAUUGCAACAAAAGCAAAAAUUGACAAAUGGGAUCUAAUUCAACUUAAGAGCUUCUGCACAGCAAAAGAAACUAUCAGAGUAAAGAGUCAAUCUACAGAAUGGGAGAAAAUUUUUACAAACUACGCAUCAGAAAAAAGUCUAAUAUCCAGCAUCUAUAAGGAAUUAAACAAAUUUACAAGAGAAAAAUAAAUAUCCCCAUUACAAAGUGGGCAAAGUUCAUGAACAGACACUUCUCAAAAGAAGACAUACAUGUGGUCAACAAGCAUCUGAAAAAAUCCAAUAUCACUGAUCAUUAGAGAAAUGCAAAUCAAAACCACAAUGAGAUACCAUCUGACACCAGUCAGAAUGGCUAUUAUAAAAAGUUAAACAAACAAACAAAAAACAACCCAACAGAUGCUUGUGAGGUUGCAGAGAAAUGGGAACACUUAUACACUGUUGGUGGGAGUGUAAAUUAGUUCAGUCAUCGUGGAAAGCAGUAUGGCAAUUCCUCAAAGAACUAAAAACAGAACUACCAUUCAACCCAGCAAUCCCAUUACUGGGUACAUACCCAAAGGAGUAUAAAUCAUUCUACCAUAAAGACACAUACACAUGUAUGUUCACUGCAGCACUAUUCACAAUAGCAAAGACAUGCAAUCAACUUAAAUGCCCAUCAAUGACAGACUGGAUAAGGAAAAUGUGGCACAUAUACACCAUGGAAUAUGAUGCAGCCGUAAAAAAGAACAAGACCAUGUCUUUUAUGGGAACAUGAGUGGAGAUGGAGGCUAUUAGCCUUAGCAAACUAACAAAGGAACAGAAAACCAAAUACCACAUGUUCUCACUUAUAGGUGGAAGCUAAAUGAUGAGAACUCAUGAACACGAGGAAGGGAAAAACAGACACUGGGGUCUACUGGAGGGUGGAGGGUAGGAGAAGGGAGAGGAGCAGAAAGAUAACUAUUGGGUACUGGGCUUAAUAACUGGGUAAUGAAAUAAUCUGUACAACAAACCCCUGUGACAGAAGUUUACCUGUAUAACAAACCUUCACAUGUACUCUUGAACCUAAAAUAAAAGUUAAAAAUGAACACAAAAUUGUUCUUUCCAUCAAAAAGUAGGGCUUUUAGAAAUGCAUAAUAUAAUGAAGUUUUUAAUCAAAUAUGUCAAUAACAACAUCAAUAUGCAUAUCCUGUUGAAUUAUAA